GAUGAACGCUGGCGGCGUGCCUAAUACAUACAAGUCGAGCGAACGGACGAGAAGCUUGCUUCUCUGAUGUUAGCGGCGGACGGGUGAGUAACACGUGGAUAACCUACCUAUAAGACUGGGAUAACUUCGGGAAACCGGAGCUAAUACCGGAUGAUAUUUUGAACCGCAUGGUUCAAAAGUGAAAGACGGUCUUGCUGUCACUUAUAGAUGGAUCCGCGCUGCAUUAGCUAGUUGGUAAGGUAACGGCUUACCAAGGCAACGAUGCAUAGCCGACCUGAGAGGGUGAUCGGCCACACUGGAACUGAGACACGGUCCAGACUCCUACGGGAGGCAGCAGUAGGGAGUCUUCCGCAAUGGGCGAAAGCCUGACGGAGCAACGCCGCGUGAGUGAUGAAGGUCUUCGGAUCGUAAAACUCUGUUAUUAGGGAAGAACAUAUGUGUAAGUAACUGUGCACAUCUUGACGGUACCUAAUCAGAAAGCCACGGCUAACUACGUGCCAGCAGCCGCGGUAAUACGUAGGUGGCAAGCGUUAUCCGGAAUUAUUGGGCGUAAAGCGCGCGUAGGCGGUUUUUUAAGUCUGAUGUGAAAGCCCACGGCUCAACCGUGGAGGGUCAUUGGAAACUGGAAAACUUGAGUGCAGAAGAGGAAAGUGGAAUUCCAUGUGUAGCGGUGAAAUGCGCAGAGAUAUGGAGGAACACCAGUGGCGAAGGCGACUUUCUGGUCUGUAACUGACGCUGAUGUGCGAAAGCGUGGGGAUCAAACAGGAUUAGAUACCCUGGUAGUCCACGCCGUAAACGAUGAGUGCUAAGUGUUAGGGGGUUUCCGCCCCUUAGUGCUGCAGCUAACGCAUUAAGCACUCCGCCUGGGGAGUACGACCGCAAGGUUGAAACUCAAAGGAAUUGACGGGGACCCGCACAAGCGGUGGAGCAUGUGGUUUAAUUCGAAGCAACGCGAAGAACCUUACCAAAUCUUGACAUCCUUUGACAACUCUAGAGAUAGAGCCUUCCCCUUCGGGGGACAAAGUGACAGGUGGUGCAUGGUUGUCGUCAGCUCGUGUCGUGAGAUGUUGGGUUAAGUCCCGCAACGAGCGCAACCCUUAAGCUUAGUUGCCAUCAUUAAGUUGGGCACUCUAAGUUGACUGCCGGUGACAAACCGGAGGAAGGUGGGGAUGACGUCAAAUCAUCAUGCCCCUUAUGAUUUGGGCUACACACGUGCUACAAUGGACAAUACAAAGGGCAGCGAAACCGCGAGGUCAAGCAAAUCCCAUAAAGUUGUUCUCAGUUCGGAUUGUAGUCUGCAACUCGACUACAUGAAGCUGGAAUCGCUAGUAAUCGUAGAUCAGCAUGCUACGGUGAAUACGUUCCCGGGUCU
RNAcentral lists this ribosomal RNA (1372 nucleotides) under uncultured bacterium. Its description in RNAcentral is "bacterial SSU rRNA". It matches the Rfam family "Bacterial small subunit ribosomal RNA", at positions 28 to 1381 of the family's 1533-position model. The record is from RNAcentral.